UGCAAAGCGGUGUUGGUUGAGGAUGGAUCGAUUACAGCUGUGCUAGGGUUUGUUCCUUCUCCUCUAGUUUUCAAUAACCUUCACACCGUAAUGAUCGACUAAUCUUCUCGUUUUUCUACUCCCUCAGAAGCGCUAUAAUGGACAACCAUGGCGACAACAGCUCCCCCAAACAAAGCUACAACAAGGGCAAAAACGUUGUCGCACCUCCCGACACCCUUGGGUAGAAACGUACCGCCCCCCGUCUCUCGCCGACGUGGCCACCCAUCGCGACAUCAUCAACACCAUCGAGAACAGAUUGCCGCAUUUGUUACUGUACGGGCCUCCCGGGAUGGGCAAGACGAUGCUUGCGGUGGCCCGAAAACUGUACGGGAUGCAAAUGCACAACAUGGUCUUGGAGCUGAAUGCGUCGGACGAAUGUGGGAUCGAUAUUGUUAGGCAGCAGAUUCAUGAUUUUGCUAGCACUCAGAUCUUCUCUUUUGGAGGAACUAAUCUGAUAGAAGAUGAUCUAUAUUGACGAAGUGACAUGACUGAUAUCAACGAAGCUGUGGGAACAACCAUCGAAUGGCCUGCUAACAUAGUUUUUAUGGACUCUUCGCCAGAGUCAAAGACGAAGGCGGAGAGGCAGUGCUACCACCCUUGUGGUGGUUCAGAAACCAUAACAAAGACGCCACCACAACCCCAAGAUUGCAAGAUGCUCGCCAUGGCACAAAACCACCACAACUCCCAAGAUUGGAAGCACAAUUAGAUUUUCCCCUUUUUGGUUAUGCCGAUGUUGAGAAAGAGGUAAUAAACAGAACUUUUGCAUGGGCUGCCCCUUGUCAAGUAUCAACUUUGUAUGGUUGUGACUUGUGAGGGUUUUUUUCUCUUCCAUACAUAUUGGAGAGAAAAAGAUAUGAAGAAGCA
RNA transcript from Rhododendron vialii, 903 nucleotides. It is a transcript of the gene named replication factor C subunit 3-like, with no coding region annotated. The record is from RefSeq and is a predicted model, not a curated record. The transcript has 4 exons. Lineage: Eukaryota; Viridiplantae; Streptophyta; Magnoliopsida; Ericales; Ericaceae.